Molecule: ribosomal RNA, 800 nt
Filed under: uncultured bacterium
Lineage: Bacteria
Description: bacterial SSU rRNA
Rfam family: Bacterial small subunit ribosomal RNA
Source: RNAcentral
GAGUUUGAUCCUGGCUCAGAAUGAACGUUGGCGGCGUGGAUUAGGCAUGCAAGUCGCGCGAGAACUGUAGCAAUACAGGGAAAGCGGCGUAAGGGACAGUAAUACCUAGAAACGUACCCCCGGGUCUGGGAUAGCGGCGGGAAACUGCCGGUAAUACCAGAUAACGUCUCCGGACCAAAGGUGUGAUUCCACCUGGGGAGCGGUCUAGGCCCUAUUAGCUUGUUGGUGGGGUAACGGCCUACCAAGGCAAAGAUGGGUAGCAGGUGUGAGAGCACGACCUGCGUCACUGGGACUGAGACACUGCCCAGACACCUACGGGUGGCUGCAGUCGAGAAUCUUCGGCAAUGGGCGCAAGCCUGACCGAGCGACGCCGCGUGCGGGAUGAAGGCCUUCGGGUUGUAAACCGCUGUCGAAGGGGAUGAAAUUCUGGUGGGUUCUCCCAUCAGAUUGACAGAUCCUUGGAGGAAGGACGGGCUAAGUUCGUGCCAGCAGCCGCGGUAAUACGAACCGUCCAAACGUUAUUCGGAAUCACUGGGCUUACAGAGUUCGUAGGCGGCGGAGAAAGUAGGGUGUGAAAGCCCUCGGCCUAACCGAGGAAUUGCGCCCUAAACUACUUCGCUUGAGGAGGCUAGAGGUGAGCAGAACAGAUGGUGGAGCGGUGAAAUGCGUUGAUAUCAUCUGGAAUACCGGAGGCGAAGGCGGCUCACUGGGACCUUUCUGACGCUGAGGAACGAAAGCUAGGGUAGCGAACGGGAUUAGAUACCCCGGUAGUCCUAGCCGUAAACGAUGAGCACUAGACC